RNAcentral lists this ribosomal RNA (151 nucleotides) under uncultured archaeon. Its description in RNAcentral is "partial 16S ribosomal RNA". It matches the Rfam family "Archaeal small subunit ribosomal RNA", at positions 322 to 473 of the family's 1478-position model. The record is from RNAcentral.
CCUACGGGGUGCAGCAGGCGCGAAAACUUUACAAUGCUGGCAACAGCGAUAAGGGAACCUCGAGUGCCAGGUUACAAAUCUGGCUGUCGAGAUGCCUAAAAAGCAUUUCAUAGCAAGGGCCGGGCAAGACCGGUGCCAGCCGCCGCGGUAA